GUGGGGAAUAUUGGACAAUGGGCGAAAGCCUGAUCCAGCCAUGCCGCGUGUGUGAAGAAGGUCUUCGGAUUGUAAAGCACUUUAAGUUGGGAGGAAGGGUAGUAACCUAAUACGUUGCUACUUUGACGUUACCGACAGAAUAAGCACCGGCUAACUUCGUGCCAGCAGCCGCGGUAAUACGAAGGGUGCAAGCGUUAAUCGGAAUUACUGGGCGUAAAGCGCGCGUAGGUGGUUCAGUAAGUUGGAAGUGAAAUCCCCGGGCUCAACCUGGGAACUGCUUUAAAAACUGCUGAGCUAGAGUACGGUAGAGGGUGGUGGAAUUUCCUGUGUAGCGGUGAAAUGCGUAGAUAUAGGAAGGAACACCAGUGGCGAAGGCGACCACCUGGACUGAUACUGACAUUGAGGUGCGAAAGCGUGGGGAGCAAACAGGAUUAGAUACCCCAGUAGUCC
Molecule: ribosomal RNA, 450 nt
Filed under: uncultured bacterium
Lineage: Bacteria
Description: partial 16S ribosomal RNA
Rfam family: Bacterial small subunit ribosomal RNA
Source: RNAcentral